UUUACAAGCACUGAAAAACCCUCAGAAGUCUCCUAGCAGAUUUCCAUGAACUCUCAAUGGCAGAACCCUGCUGCCCUGGUAUGCUCAACAGCAAAGGAGUCUGGAAUAGUAAUUCUCUCACAAGGUGCUGUGGGCUAUGUCCAUCAUUGCCCCCAAUGAAAUUGAGAUUCUGUUUAUAAGGACAGACAUGAAUGAUAGUUAGUAUAUUACAGUGGCUUCCAUAGUCUCCUUCUUCAUAGAGUUAGUUCUCUGGCCACUUUGCGGAAAGAUAAGGUGGAGUAAAACGUGCGGUGGAGGUCACAUGGUGUUUGUGCAAAUCGCUUGGGUCUACAGGGCACCAGAGUGGGGCUAAAGUGCGAAUGAGGUGGAACACUCAGGAACAGCCUGUCAGAACAAGCAUGAUUUAAAGCAGCUGCCCUGGAGAGUGUGUCAUUUUUUAUAGCAAUAAAAGCAGUAAUGAUGGACUUUAUAUUGCAGUCACAAGCUACCAUUACUAUGUCAGGUUAAAUGCAUAACAUUGAAUGUUGUGUGAAUUGGAAGUAAAAUGACCACAGAAGGAAGUCUAGGAUCAAAAUAGAUGUAAAGACUGUUGUAGUGUUUUACUUUGCUUUCUUGUAGAGGCAGUGUUAUCAGUAGGAUGAAUGGCUGUUAACUUCGUGUGGAGAGAGAAAAAUGUAUGGAGCUGUAGAUACAUCCAGAUUCUGGGGCAGACAGGAAUGGCUUGUCGGGAUCCUGGAAGAAGCAAAACUGGAAGAUUGUCCUGAUUGAAUUUGACUAUUUCUCAAUACUGUCAACUCUGCCAAAAACCUCAGCAAAGAAAGUAAUUACCUUUUAAAGUAUUUCUCCCACUCUGAUCCUUGGAGUUGGGGAAAACAGGUGGGGGAAGAGGAAAGGCUUUGUAGAAGAAUCAGACAGCCGAUUGCAUUUUAUUAAACCUAGGAAGUCCUUGUGACCUCACUUUCCUAAGACUCAUUUCUGUUGAAGGAACCAACCAAAGCAGAUAUUUUGGGGGGAAAAUGUGACAAUAAAACAUACCAAUUUCCUCAUCAAAGCUGGAGAAGUUGAAAAGGAGUUUGGGGAGAAGAAAGCAAAGCCCGUAAGACACUGGAGAAAUGUUAAUUAAGAGCACUUCAUAAACAUAACCUAAAGCAGAAUAUUCUGUAAAACGUGAUGUUCAAAGCCACAUCAGAGCUUCAGGCAAAAAUGGCACUUCUUUCCUGGCUUUAUGAGACAGAAUCCUCAAGGCCACAUACCUUCAAACAUCUUUAAAAGUGCAAUCAUUUCUCACAAAGCAGUCGCUCUGAAGUGUGAUUUUAAAGUUGUAU
This is a long non-coding RNA of Mustela erminea (ermine), 1325 nucleotides long. RefSeq lists it as uncharacterized. The transcript has 7 exons. NCBI's taxonomy places the organism in Eukaryota, Metazoa, Chordata, Mammalia, Carnivora, Mustelidae. The record is from RefSeq and is a predicted model, not a curated record.